CAGGGAUUAAAGCGGACAGGAUGCUAUUUUCAUGCUGCUUCUGAAAGGAAUGGCUUCUCUUCCAGCAGAGGAAGGAGCUGCGGCUGCACGGUGCCAUGCAACAGCGAGCUGCCUGCCAGCUUCCUGUCCAGACCAGGGGUCAGCAGCUCCCUGAAGGACGUGCCCGGCUGCUGAGCUGCAGUGGCCACAUGAGAGCAGCAGCAGCAGCACAGCCCUGCUCCACCAGCCUGGGUGCACAGGAGCUCCCUGACCUCAGGCCUAGCACACAGCAGGUUCCCAAAGUCAGCAUGCGUGACUCUGAAAGGUCCCACCCCGGCCAGAGUGAGGCAGCAAAGCUUCCAGAAGCCAAAGCAGCUGAAAUGAAAAAACGUUCUGUAUUCCACCACUUCAGCUUUGUACAGUAGUGUCAGAAAUAUCACAGCUGGAACCAAUGCUGUCUAGAAGCUCUGAUACAGGCCCAGCUGCUUGUGAUUCUACAGCACGCCCACAGGAAUUCAAACAACAGGUAAUGACUACCAGUCUCUAGAGAAACACUUUGCUAACAAAAAUGUGUUGGUUUAAGUAUAAGGCAUGAAGCUCUACAGCCUGUGGUGUCACAUGGGAGCUCAGAUAAGAUUAUAUGACACACAGUGGUCAUAAAAAUCAGCCCACCUCAGUUAGGUCUUUGAAUAAGCCUAGCACCAUUAAGUACAACUUGCACAACUUCCCUUGUUCAGGCACAGGAAAAACAUGGUAGUA
Molecule: long non-coding RNA, 738 nt
Filed under: Gallus gallus (chicken)
Lineage: Eukaryota; Metazoa; Chordata; Aves; Galliformes; Phasianidae
Description: lncRNA (ENSGALG00010030074.1)
Source: RNAcentral